This 394-nucleotide ribosomal RNA is filed under the name uncultured bacterium. RNAcentral's name for it is "partial 16S ribosomal RNA". It matches the Rfam family "Bacterial small subunit ribosomal RNA", at positions 523 to 918 of the family's 1533-position model. The record is from RNAcentral.
AUACGUAGGGAGCGAGCGUUGUCCGGAAUUACUGGGCGUAAAGGGCGCGUAGGCGGCGCUUCAAGUCGUCUGUCAAAUGGGAGGGCUUAACCCUUUUUCGCAGGCGAAACUGGAGAGCUUGAGAAGCAGAGAGGCAAACAGAAUUCCUGGUGUAGCGGUGAAAUGCGUAGAUAUCAGGAAGAAUACCAGUGGCGAAGGCGGUUUGCUGGCUGCAUACUGACGCUGAAGCGCGAAAGCCAGGGGAGCAAACGGGAUUAGAUACCCCGGUAGUCCUGGCAGUAAACGAUGUAUGCUGGGUGUGAGACUAGCGAUAGUUUCGUGCCGAAGUUAACGCGAUAAGCAUACCGCCUGGGGAGUACGGUCGCAAGAUUGAAACUCAAAUGAAUUGACGGGG